RNAcentral lists this ribosomal RNA (429 nucleotides) under Chloroflexota bacterium. RNAcentral describes it as "Chloroflexi bacterium partial 16S ribosomal RNA". It matches the Rfam family "Bacterial small subunit ribosomal RNA", at positions 355 to 776 of the family's 1533-position model. Lineage: Bacteria; Bacillati; Chloroflexota. The record is from RNAcentral.
UGGGGAAUAUUGCACAAUGGGCGCAAGCCUGAUGCAGCCAUGCCGCGUGUAUGAAGAAGGCCUUCGGGUUGUAAAGUACUUUCAGCGGGGAGGAAGGGAGUAAAGUUAAUACCUUUGCUCAUUGACGUUACCCGCAGAAGAAGCACCGGCUAACUCCGUGCCAGCAGCCGCGGUAAUACGGAGGGUGCAAGCGUUAAUCGGAAUUACUGGGCGUAAAGCGCACGCAGGCGGUUUGUUAAGUCAGAUGUGAAAUCCCCGGGCUCAACCUGGGAACUGCAUCUGAUACUGGCAAGCUUGAGUCUCGUAGAGGGGGGUAGAAUUCCAGGUGUAGCGGUGAAAUGCGUAGAGAUCUGGAGGAAUACUGGUGGCGAAGGCGGCCCCCUGGACGAAGACUGACGCUCAGGUGCGAAAGCGUGGGGAGCAAACAGG